AGCAUUGCUCUCCUCGGCAACACACCCACCUGCGGGAACCCAGGGCUGCCCUGGGAGCUGCGGGCAGAGGGUCCAGGCUGACUGCGCCAGAGCCAGGAAGAGAAGGUCCUGGUCACCUCAUGGAGAAUUUGAAAGGCACAAAAGAGCUGUUUCUCCACCCCAUCUUUGGAGUUCUCAUUUCUGGUGGCAGAGACAUGUAACAGGAAGAAAAUCGAUGAUGCAGCCACCAGACUCUCGGGUGAAGGCUGUGGGCAGCGUGGGCAGUUGGAUCUGCGCUGAGAACAUCAAACAAAUAGAGCUCCUUCAGAGGCCCCUGACUCUCCUCAGCCUCAUGAAAAUAUAUGUAACCCUGCGUAAGUUCAUGUGAUCUCUGUCCAGAGAAAAUCACCAUGCUACCUGUGUUCUUCCAAAUCUACUUGGAAAUUAAAUACUUACCUACUGAAGUGUGAACUGUUGUCAUGUCCUAAGUUUCCAAGGAAAAUAUGACUUCAUCCAGAGCCUGAGUGCCUUCCUCAGAGUUCAAGAGGGUUUCAUGAUGUUCACUUCCAAUAUGAUCUGCCACUCUUCCAGCAACCAAUAAAUCCGGCCUGCCCUCCAUGCCAGUCACAAA
Macaca mulatta (Rhesus monkey) is the source of this 610-nucleotide non-coding RNA. NCBI's taxonomy places the organism in Eukaryota, Metazoa, Chordata, Mammalia, Primates, Cercopithecidae. The record is from RefSeq and is a predicted model, not a curated record.